RNAcentral lists this ribosomal RNA (425 nucleotides) under uncultured bacterium. Its description in RNAcentral is "bacterial SSU rRNA". It matches the Rfam family "Bacterial small subunit ribosomal RNA", at positions 359 to 776 of the family's 1533-position model. The record is from RNAcentral.
GAAUAUUGGACAAUGGGCGCAAGCCUGAUCCAGCAAUGCCGCGUGUGUGAAGAAGGCCUUCGGGUUGUAAAGCACUUUAAGUUGGGAGGAAAGCCUUUGUGUUAAUAGCACAGAGGUGUGACGUUACGAACAGAAUAAGCACCGGCUAACUCCGUGCCAGCAUCCGCGGUAAUACGGAGGGUGCAAGCGUUAAUCGGAAUUACUGGGCGUCACGCGCGCGUAGGCGGUUUGUUAAGUCAGAUGUGAAAUCCCCGGGCUCAACCUGGGAAUGGCAUUUGAGACUGGCAGGCUAGAGUGUGGUAGAGGUGAGUGGAAUUUCAGGUGUAGCGGUGAAAUGCGUAGAGAUCUGAAGGAACAUCAGUGGCGAAGGCGACUCACUGGGCCAUUACUGACGCUGAGGUGCGAAAGCGUGGGUAGCAAACAGG